This 1927-nucleotide long non-coding RNA is filed under the name Heterocephalus glaber (naked mole-rat). RNAcentral's name for it is "lncRNA (ENSHGLG00100045290.1)". The record is from RNAcentral. Lineage: Eukaryota; Metazoa; Chordata; Mammalia; Rodentia; Bathyergidae.
UAGACAUUACACAAUUAGAGAAAAAUUUACAGCCUACAUUAGAUAUACUACAAACAAGAGAAACUGAAAAUCAGUGAAAUAAUUUUACAACUAAAAACAGUGGAAAAGAAACAACAAAUUAAAUCUGAAGAAAGGAGGCAUUAGUGAAGAUAAAACUAGAAAGUAAUGGUCAAAAUAAAAUAUUGGAUGAAUGAGCACAACUUUCCCCUUGAACAGGCGUGGCUUAGUUACUUUUCUCAUUGCUGAGACAAAAUACCCGAUGCCCACAAGUUAAGGGAGGACAGGUUCAUUUAGCUCACAGUGUGUGGAGGUUUCCGUCCAUAGUCGGUUGGCUCCAAGGCAGGGGGGCCUGGCAGAGGAGGAGCAGCUCAGAGAAGCAAGGGCCCUCAGCAGCUGCUUUCUGCCACCUUUAUAGUCUUUCUUGGGUACUGGGAUCAGGGCAGGUGCACAACCAAUCAGGACUGAUUUAGUAAUCACACACCCUUAAUCCUAGCAUUGCACCAUGAAUCAGUCACACACCUUAGAUCCAGCCACCUCUGAAAAAGCUCCAUCUCUGACCACUUGAGGCUUGUGGGGACAGCUAGACACAGCCAUAACAAGGCUGGUAAAUAGAUAAAAAGUUGGCAAGCCUGAUCGAGAACAAAAGUGGAAACUUAGAAGACAAGGGAUGUAGUUCCAGGAACAGAGAAUAUUUUAAAACUAUAAAAGAAUGAUAUUGUGUGGCAAUAUUAUUCAAACAUCUAUGUGAAAUGGGUGCUUUCUAGAGAAAUAUUAGAGUUGCCUCUAAAAAAGAUACCAGGCCCCGAUGGUUUUAUGGGAGGAUUCCCUAAGCCUCAAAGGCACAGAUAAUUCCCAUGUGAAGGGAAUCAUGUUCCCAGCAUGCUCUAUGAGUGGUGUAUGCUGAUAUUAAAACAACGCAAGGAUAGGAUAAGCAAGGAAAAUGGUAAUUUCACUCUGUAAUUCAAUACAUUAGGAAAUAGAUUUAUGAAUUUAAUAUAUGACAUAAUGUUUAAUAUUUAACUCAUGUUUAUGCAUAAACGUAAGAGCAAGAAUCAAGCUAUGACAAAGCCGGGGAACUACAGUCACCAUCUCACAUCAGGAGCUGGGAUCACAGAGACCUGCAGAGCUGCCUGCGGGGAGGAGGGCAGCCACAGGUGUCACACAGAGAGGCCCCUGGAGCCCCUGCAGCUUGACUCUGCCCACGAGCCAACAGGGAGAUGCUUCUUCUUAUCACCCUCAUUGCUCUGACUGUGGCUGGAGUCCCAGCCCCACCUCUGCCCUCUCACCUCUCUGGGAGCAGGCGAGAGAUCAUCUGCCCAAGAGAGGACGCCUUUCCAGGGAGGAGCGCACCGAGGGGGCCCUGCCAGCCCCUGGGGUCCUCACCUUGCCUUCUUCAAGCAGGGACAGGACGGCCUUGAAGGAGGGAGGUCAGAAGCAGCCUUCUUUUUCCUCUGGGGGAAGUGUGGAGGGGCCGGGUGGUGUAGACAGAAGAGCAUCGGACUGGAGCUGCUGGCAGCCAGGCUGCAGGGGGCAGCAGCCAAGGGGGACACUGCAUGAGCUAGCCCAGGCCAGGGGAGAGAGCAGGAGGAGCAGGAAGAGGAGGAGACAGAUGCUUGAUGGGGAAGAGAGGCCAGUUUCUGCCUCCUGUCUCAGGUCAGCUGCAUCUCAUCUGCAGUGGGAGGGUGGGUGUCCCUGCUCUGAGGGCUUGGGACAAGGUGGUGGUGCCUGGCAGGAGGUCCCUGGGGGUGUGUCCUAAAGGGACAGGGGGAUCCUGGGUGCUCAUUUUCCUCUCUCUUUGCUUCCUGGCUGUUGUGAGGUGAGCUGUCCCUUCCACCGUGAACUCCCACCACCACGUUCUGCCUUGCCAAGAGCCCAACGGCAAGAGCCAGUGACCAUGGACUGAGCCCUCUGAACCCAUGAUCCAAGC